Molecule: ribosomal RNA, 566 nt
Filed under: Fusarium sp. 309f
Lineage: Eukaryota; Fungi; Ascomycota; Sordariomycetes; Hypocreales; Nectriaceae
Description: eukaryotic LSU rRNA
Rfam family: 5.8S ribosomal RNA (bases 213-366)
Source: RNAcentral
GUCAUUUAGAGGAAGUAAAAGUCGUAACAAGGUCUCCGUUGGUGAACCAGCGGAGGGAUCAUUACCGAGUUUACAACUCCCAAACCCCUGUGAACAUACCACUUGUUGCCUCGGCGGAUCAGCCCGCUCCCGGUAAAACGGGACGGCCCGCCAGAGGACCCCUAAACUCUGUUUCUAUAUGUAACUUCUGAGUAAAACCAUAAAUAAAUCAAAACUUUCAACAACGGAUCUCUUGGUUCUGGCAUCGAUGAAGAACGCAGCAAAAUGCGAUAAGUAAUGUGAAUUGCAGAAUUCAGUGAAUCAUCGAAUCUUUGAACGCACAUUGCGCCCGCCAGUAUUCUGGCGGGCAUGCCUGUUCGAGCGUCAUUUCAACCCUCAAGCACAGCUUGGUGUUGGGACUCGCGUUAAUUCGCGUUCCUCAAAUUGAUUGGCGGUCACGUCGAGCUUCCAUAGCGUAGUAGUAAAACCCUCGUUACUGGUAAUCGUCGCGGCCACGCCGUUAAACCCCAACUUCUGAAUGUUGACCUCGGAUCAGGUAGGAAUACCCGCUGAACUUAAGCAUAUCA